This 501-nucleotide ribosomal RNA is filed under the name uncultured bacterium. RNAcentral describes it as "partial 16S ribosomal RNA". It matches the Rfam family "Bacterial small subunit ribosomal RNA", at positions 30 to 523 of the family's 1533-position model. The record is from RNAcentral.
AUUGAACGCUGGCGGCAGGCUUAACACAUGCAAGUCGAGCGGAGAUGAGGUGCUUGCACCUUAUCUUAGCGGCGGACGGGUGAGUAAUGCUUAGGAAUCUGCCUAUUAGUGGGGGACAACAUUCCGAAAGGAAUGCUAAUACCGCAUACGUCCUACGGGAGAAAGCAGGGGAUCUUCGGACCUUGCGCUAAUAGAUGAGCCUAAGUCGGAUUAGCUAGUUGGUGGGGUAAAGGCCUACCAAGGCGACGAGCUGUAGCGGGUCUGAGAGGAUGACCCCCCACACUGGGACUGAGACACGGCCCAGACUCCUCCGGGGGGCAGCAGUGGGGAAUAUUGGACAAUGGGGGGAACCCUGAUCCAGCCAUGCCGCGUGUGUGAAGAAGGCCUUAUGGUUGUAAAGCACUUUGAGCGAGGAGGAGGCUACUGAGACUAAUACUCUUGGAUAGUGGACGUUACUCGCAGAAUAAGCACCGGCUAACUCUGUGCCAGCAGCCGCCGUAA